Molecule: unclassified non-coding RNA, 377 nt
Filed under: plant metagenome
Description: partial contains 5.8S ribosomal RNA, internal transcribed spacer 2, and large subunit ribosomal RNA
Rfam family: 5.8S ribosomal RNA (bases 1-104)
Source: RNAcentral
AAAUGCGAUAAGUAAUGUGAAUUGCAGAAUUCAGUGAAUCAUCGAAUCUUUGAACGCACCUUGCGCUCCUUGGUAUUCCUUGGAGCAUGCCUGUUUGAGUAUCAUGAAAUCUUCAAAGUAAAUCUUUUGUUAACUCAAUUGGUUUCUACUUUGGUAUUGGAGGUCUUUGCAGCUUCACACCUGCCCCUCUUUGUUCAUUAGCUGGAUCUCAGUGUUAUGCUUGGUUCCACUCGGCGUGAUAAGUUAUCUAUCGCUGAGGACACUGUAAAAGGUGGCCAAGGUAAAUGCAGAUGAACCGCUUCUAAUAGUCCAUUGACUUGGACAAUACUUUUAUGAUCUGAUCUCAAAUCAGGUAGGACUACCCGCUGAACUUAAGC